RNAcentral lists this ribosomal RNA (821 nucleotides) under uncultured bacterium. Its description in RNAcentral is "bacterial SSU rRNA". It matches the Rfam family "Bacterial small subunit ribosomal RNA", at positions 636 to 1456 of the family's 1533-position model. The record is from RNAcentral.
UNUGACUUGAGUGCAGAAGGGGAGAGUGGAAUUCCAUGUGUAGCGGUGAAAUGCGUAGAUAUAUGGAGGANCACCAGUGGCGAAAGCGGCUCUCUGGUCUGUCACUGACGCUGAGGCUCGAAAGCGUGGGUAGCGAACAGGAUUAGAUACCCUGGUAGUNCACGCCGUAAACGAUGAGUGCUAGGUGUUAGGCCCUUUCCGGGGCUUAGUGCCGGAGCUAACGCAAUAAGCACUCCGCCUGGGGAGUACGACCGCAAGGUUGAAACUCAAAGGAAUUGACGGGGGCCCGCACAAGCGGUGGAGCAUGUGGUUUAAUUCGAAGCAACGCGAAGAACCUUACCAGGUCUUGACAUCCCGAUGCUAUUCUUAGAGAUAGGAAGUUACUUCGGUACAUCGGAGACAGGUGGUGCAUGGUUGUCGUCAGCUCGUGUCGUGAGAUGUUGGGUUAAGUCCCGCAACGAGCGCAACCCUUAUUGUUAGUUGCCAUCAUUAAGUUGGGCACUCUAGCGAGACUGCCGGUAAUAAACCGGAGGAAGGUGGGGAUGACGUCAAAUCAUCAUGCCCCUUAUGACCUGGGCUACACACGUGCUACAAUGGUCGGUACAACGAGUUGCGAGCCGGUGACGGCAAGCUAAUCUCUGAAAGCCGAUCUCAGUUCGGAUUGGAGGCUGCAACUCGCCUCCAUGAAGUCGGAAUCGCUAGUAAUCGCGGAUCAGCACGCCGCGGUGAAUACGUUCCCGGGCCUUGUACACACCGCCCGUCACACCACGAGAGUUUGUAACACCCGAAGUCGGUGAGGUAACCUUUUAGGGGCCAGCCGC